RNAcentral lists this transfer RNA (69 nucleotides) under Dryophytes japonicus (Japanese treefrog). Its description in RNAcentral is "tRNA-Val". It matches the Rfam family "tRNA". Rfam says of the family: Transfer RNA (tRNA) molecules are approximately 80 nucleotides in length. Their secondary structure includes four short double-helical elements and three loops (D, anti-codon, and T loops). The record is from RNAcentral. Lineage: Eukaryota; Metazoa; Chordata; Amphibia; Anura; Hylidae.
CAAAAUAUAGCUUAAAUAAAGCAUCUCGCUUACACCGAGAAAACAUCUGUUAAACUCAGAUUAUUUUGA